RNAcentral lists this ribosomal RNA (507 nucleotides) under uncultured marine eukaryote. RNAcentral's name for it is "bacterial SSU rRNA". It matches the Rfam family "Eukaryotic small subunit ribosomal RNA", at positions 621 to 1134 of the family's 1831-position model. The record is from RNAcentral.
AAAAAGCUCGUAGUUGGAUUUCUGUCGAAGACGGCCGGUCCGCUCUUUGAGCGUGUAUCUGGUUCGGCUUUGGCAUCCUCGUGGGGUACGUAACUGUGCUUGAUUGCAUGGUGCGGAAUUCACGACUUUUACUUUGAGGAAAUUAGAGUGUUCACGGCAGGCAUGAGCCUUGAAUACAUUAGCAUGGAAUAAUAAUAUAGGACUUUGGUUUUAUUUUGUUGGUUUCUAGAACUAAAGUAAUGAUUAAUAGGGAUAAUUGGGGGCAUUUGUAUUAACGCGUCAGAGGUGGAAUUCUUGGAUUGCGUUACGACAAACUACUGCGAAAGCAUUUGCCAAGGAUGUUUUCAUUAAUCAAGAACGAAAGUUAGGGGAUCAAAGACGAUCAGAUACCGUCCUAGUCUUAACCAUAAACUAUGCCGACUCGGGAUCGGGAGCGUGUGUUAUCCGCUUUCGGCACCGUAUGAGAAAUCAAAGUCUUUGGGGUUCUGGGGGGGAGUAUGGUCGCAA